GUAGAGCACUGUUUCGGCUAGGGGGCCAUCCCGGCUUACCAACCCGAUGCAAACUGCGAAUACCGGAGAAUGUUAUCACGGGAGACACACGGCGGGUGCUAACGUCCGUCGUGAAGAGGGAAACAACCCAGACCGCCAGCUAAGGUCCCAAAGUCAUGGUUAAGUGGGAAACGAUGUGGGAAGGCCCAGACAGCCAGGAUGUUGGCUUAGAAGCAGCCAUCAUUUAAAGAAAGCGUAAUAGCUCACUGGUCGAGUCGGCCUGCGCGGAAGAUGUAACGGGGCUAAACCAUGCACCGAAGCUGCGGCAGCGAACGUAUCACUUAAAGCGAUUCAGCGGGUUACGAUUGACGGAGCGAAGCGACGUCAAAGCGUAUACAAAGUCGAGUCGGUUUAAGGAUACGUUCGUUGGGUAGGGGAGCGUUCUGUAAGCCCGUGAAGGUGGCCUGUGAGGG
Molecule: ribosomal RNA, 452 nt
Filed under: Salmonella enterica subsp. enterica
Lineage: Bacteria; Pseudomonadati; Pseudomonadota; Gammaproteobacteria; Enterobacterales; Enterobacteriaceae
Description: partial 23S ribosomal RNA
Rfam family: Bacterial large subunit ribosomal RNA
Source: RNAcentral